Molecule: ribosomal RNA, 590 nt
Filed under: uncultured bacterium
Lineage: Bacteria
Description: bacterial SSU rRNA
Rfam family: Bacterial small subunit ribosomal RNA
Source: RNAcentral
UGCUUACCAUGCAGUCGAACGGUGAUGGGGAGCUUGCUCCUUGGAUCAGUGGCGAACGGGUGAGUAACACGUGAGCAAUCUGCCCUUGACUCUGGGAUAACUGCGGGAAACUGUAGCUAAUACCGGAUAUUACCUUGGAAGGCAUCUUCUGAGGUGGAAAGAAUUUUGGUCAAGGAUGAGCUCGCGGCCUAUCAGCUAGUUGGUGAGGUAAUGGCUCACCAAGGCGACGACGGGUAGCCGGCCUGAGAGGGUGACCGGCCACACUGGGACUGAGACACGGCCCAGACUCCUACGGGAGGCAGCAGUGGGGAAUAUUGCACAAUGGGCGCAAGCCUGAUGCAGCAACGCCGCGUGAGGGACGACGGCCUUCGGGUUGUAACCUCUUUUAGUAGGGAAGAGCGACUGGGUUUUCCUGGGAGUGACGGUACCUGCAGAAAAAGCACCGGCUACUACGUGCAGCAGCCGCGGUAAUACGUAGGUGCAAGCGUUGUCAGAUUAUUGGGCGUAAAGAGCUCGUAGCGGUUGUCGCGUCUGCUGUGAAACCCGAGGCUCACCUCGGCCUGCAGUGGUACGGCAGACUAGAGUGCGUA